GUCUGGGAUAGCUCAGUUGGUAGAGCAUGAGACUCUUAAUCUCAGGGUCGCGGGUUUGAUCACCACACUGGGCA
Molecule: non-coding RNA, 74 nt
Organism: Podarcis lilfordi (Lilford's wall lizard)
Lineage: Eukaryota; Metazoa; Chordata; Lepidosauria; Squamata; Lacertidae
Source: the annotation of a GenBank genome assembly